Molecule: ribosomal RNA, 471 nt
Filed under: Nonionella sp. T1
Lineage: Eukaryota; Foraminifera; Rotaliida; Nonionidae
Description: SSU rRNA
Rfam family: Eukaryotic small subunit ribosomal RNA
Source: RNAcentral
GCUUAAUUUGACUCAACGCGGGAAAUCUUACCGGGUCCGGACACACUGAGGAUUGACAGGUAACGUUAUACACACAUAUAUUUACUCUCGGGUAUUUAUACUGCUGUGUAUAUAUAAAAUAUGCUAGUCCUUUCAUGAUUAUGUGAUAGGUGGUGCAUGGCCGUUCUUAGUUCGUGGAGUGAUCUGUCUGCUUAAUUGCGUUUCACUAAGGAUCUAUAUUCAUAUUACGCAUAGCAUUUUGACCCCUUUAUGCUUCGGUAUAAAGCUGCGCGUCAAACCUUGCUAUCUGCGUAUAUUAGAUCCUGAAAGCAACGAACGUGACCGCAACCUCUUGUUGCCUUUAACUAGGUUUUGCUUACGUAUAGCUUCGGCUUUACGCUUUGCAUCUAAAAAGGCUGAUUUUCUAAACUAGAGGGACCGCUGUUACUUUCUUAAACCAGAGGAAGGUUGCGGCAAUAACAGGUCUGUGAU